UGGAAUUGACAGACUCUGAUUGGACC
Molecule: non-coding RNA, 26 nt
Filed under: Rattus norvegicus (Norway rat)
Lineage: Eukaryota; Metazoa; Chordata; Mammalia; Rodentia; Muridae
Source: RNAcentral